This 495-nucleotide ribosomal RNA is filed under the name uncultured Actinomycetes bacterium. Its description in RNAcentral is "bacterial SSU rRNA". It matches the Rfam family "Bacterial small subunit ribosomal RNA", at positions 355 to 865 of the family's 1533-position model. Lineage: Bacteria; Bacillati; Actinomycetota; Actinomycetes. The record is from RNAcentral.
UGGGGAAUCUUGCGCAAUGGGCGAAAGCCUGACGCAGCAACGCCGCGUGCGGGAUGAAGGCUCUCGGGUUGUAAACCGCUUUCAGGAGGGACGGAAAUGACGGUACCUCCAGAAGAAGCCCCGGCCAACUACGUGCCAGCAGCCGCGGUAACACGUAGGGGGCGAGCGUUGUCCGGAUUUAUUGGGCGUAAAGAGCUCGUAGGCGGUUCGGCAAGUCGGGUGUGAAAUUUCGAGGCUCAACCUCGAAACGCCACUCGAUACUGCUGUGACUGGAGUCCGGUAGAGGAGUGCGGAAUUCCUGGUGUAGCGGUGAAAUGCGCAGAUAUCAGGAGGAACACCAACGGCGAAGGCAGCACUCUGGGCCGGUACUGACGCUGAGGAGCGAAAGCGUGGGGAGCAAACAGGAUUAGAUACCCUGGUAGUCCACGCCGUAAACGCUGGGCACUAGGUGUGGGGGCGUGUCAACGCCUCCGUGCCGUAGCUAACGCAUUAAGU